UUGAGCCGUAUGCGCUGAAAGGCGCACGUACGGUUCUUAGGGGGCCCCGAUUCCGGCAACGGAUUGGGGCCACCCGAC
Molecule: non-coding RNA, 78 nt
Organism: Pseudomonas taeanensis MS-3
Lineage: Bacteria; Pseudomonadati; Pseudomonadota; Gammaproteobacteria; Pseudomonadales; Pseudomonadaceae
Source: Rfam